GGGGUUGUGGCUUAGCGGUAGAGUGCUCGCCUCAAACGUGAGGGACCCUGGGUUCGAUCCUCAGCACCA
This 69-nucleotide transfer RNA is filed under the name Ictidomys tridecemlineatus (thirteen-lined ground squirrel). RNAcentral describes it as "Spermophilus tridecemlineatus (thirteen-lined ground squirrel) tRNA". It matches the Rfam family "tRNA". Rfam says of the family: Transfer RNA (tRNA) molecules are approximately 80 nucleotides in length. Their secondary structure includes four short double-helical elements and three loops (D, anti-codon, and T loops). Lineage: Eukaryota; Metazoa; Chordata; Mammalia; Rodentia; Sciuridae. The record is from Rfam by way of RNAcentral.